AGUGAACGCUGGCGGUAGGCCUAACACAUGCAAGUCGAACGGCAGCACAGUAAGAGCUUGCUCUUACGGGUGGCGAGUGGCGGACGGGUGAGGAAUACAUCGGAAUCUACUUUUUCGUGGGGAUAACGUAGGGAAACUUACGCUAAUACCGCAUACGACCUACGGGUGAAAGCAGGGGAUCUUCGGACCUUGCGCGAUUGAAUGAGCCGAUGUCGGAUUAGCUAGUUGGCGGGGUCAAGGCCCACCAAGGCGACGAUCCGUAGCUGGUCUGAGAGGAUGAUCAGCCACACUGGAACUGAGACACGGUCCAGACUCCUACGGGAGGCAGCAGUGGGGAAUAUUGGACAAUGGGCGCAAGCCUGAUCCAGCCAUACCGCGUGGGUGAAGAAGGCCUUCGGGUUGUAAAGCCCUUUUGUUGGGAAAGAAAAGCAGCAGGUUAAUACCCCGCUGUUCUGACGGUACCCAAAGAAUAAGCACCGGCUAACUUCGUG
RNAcentral lists this ribosomal RNA (491 nucleotides) under uncultured bacterium. RNAcentral's name for it is "partial 16S ribosomal RNA". It matches the Rfam family "Bacterial small subunit ribosomal RNA", at positions 29 to 507 of the family's 1533-position model. The record is from RNAcentral.